RNAcentral lists this long non-coding RNA (4838 nucleotides) under Hordeum vulgare. RNAcentral describes it as "long non-coding RNA (HVUL_LNC015881)". Lineage: Eukaryota; Viridiplantae; Streptophyta; Magnoliopsida; Poales; Poaceae. The record is from RNAcentral.
AUUUCGUUCGCGUCCCUCACUCUCUCACAUACCUGGCAGCGCGGCCCCGACCACAUAGUCCCCAACCUCUCGCUCUAUCCGCGCGGGAUAGAGCACGGCGCUGCCGCCCGAAACCGUCGGCCGCACCUCGCGUAGAUAACGUCUAUCCGCAGCUCCGCAGACGCCCUAGAUCGCUCCUAUAUAAAGCCUGCGAGCCCCUCGUCCCAUUCUGCCACACCGCACCAUCUCUUGCUGCUCGUAGACGCCGCUGUUGCCAUUGGAUCUCGCCGGAGCCGGAGCUUUCCAUCGACGUUUCGAACGCCGGUGAACCUCCCUAGCCUCCUUUUUCCUACCGGAAUCGGAUCCCCUAGUCCCUCCGCUUCUUGCUGACAUCUUCUUUGCCCCUAGGACGCACCGGAGCAGCCACCCCGACGACCUGCGUCGUCGGAGUUCGCCGGAGGACACGAGCUCCGCCUGCUGCCUCCGCCCGUCGCCGCCGACCGACGUCACCACCGUUCGGCCGCCCUCGACGAGCCACACCCGCCCGACCACCUCGCCCGCACCGGAGCCCGCCGGAGCCGCCGCCCCUGCCGUCGCCGAGUUCCUGCCAACGAGUUCUUGUCUCAGCCUCCCUCUGUACGUUAGCAGUUUAGGUUAUUAUUAUUAUUAUUAUUUAGAACCAACCAUUAUGUUAGAUCUAGAUGGGUUUUCUUAGUCGAACCGGUACGUGGAUUAACCACGGUUUUAUUCUAAAACAAACGGUAGUUUCUUUUAGUUUAGCCGCAGCUUACGUUUUACUUAACUGGUGGCCAUUCACUACAUAGACUCAAGAGUGCACACAGUCAACCAAUCGGAGCCGACCAUAAUACGCUCUACUAGCGAACGGCCUCUUUGUAGCAUUUUCAGAAGAAAAAAAGUCAGUUGUAGCUUUUUAGUUCAGAUUUGUUUCAAAUUUUCAAACGCGCACAACGUUUUAACCGUAAGUCCAAAUGAGAUGAAACCAGCGGCUACUUUUUCGUAUCGAAUAGCUUUAUCCAGAGAACCCAACCUUGCAGACUUUUGCAAAUUCAAAUUUGAAUUUAUUUCAGAUUUGAAUUUAAACUUCAUUAGGCCACAUCUCUUGAACGGUAUGUUCGUUUGGAGUGAUUCCUGUUGCACCACGUCACACAAACUAAAUCCCAUGCCGAGGAUCAUUUCCAAGGUAUAUUUUUACAUAAUUAGUUGUUGUUACCAUCAUAUUACUAGUAUGCCCUAUAGGCACAUUAGUGCACAUCACGGAUUUUGAGCCAUGUUCUCACUCUUGGUUUUAUACUUUGAAAAAACUUUCAUGCAAACGUCUUGUGUUGGAUUUUAUUUGGUUUUUAUGAAUAUAUUUUUUUCUGCAUGUUACUUUGAAUUGUAUGAAUGUUAUGUUUAUGUGUAUUAUUUUACUUUUACGCUAGAUUGUCCGGAGUGCGAAGCCGAAUAUUAUCAUUUGCUAGAACUUCAGUCCGAGUGCCAAGGCAAGUUACAUUUUGAUCAUAACUAUCUUACCUAUGUUUUGUUAUGCAUGUAGUCCUUUGCUAUAGGAUUGCAUGAUAGGAAUUUAUUUUCUUUGGCUAUGCUUGCACCUAGUAGUUCAUUUGAGGUAGGUCUGAACCAUAUCAACCUUGUCGCCAUCGAGUUAAGUUAUAGUUGCUUCGCCAAAGUAGACGUGGAUUGGGAAGUGAUAUCACAUUGAGACAUGAGGGACAAAGUAGUAAUUAGGACCAAGACUUAAAUGAACUACCUGGGUGGAAAGUUGGUUUGAAUGGUGGCGAAGUACAGUGGGAGCAUUCAUGGGAAUCCACGGGAGUGCACACUAGUGGUUCGUCCACCCAGGCUCAAAGGGAUCAACCAUGUUUUUGUUGGAAAUAUGCCCUAGAGGCAAUAGUAAAUUAGUUAUUAUUAUAUUUCUUUGUUCAUGAUAAUCGUUUAUUAUCCAUGCUAUAAUUGUAUUGAUUGGAAACACAAAGCAUGUGUGGAUACAUAGACAAAACACUGUCCCUAGUAAGCCUCUAGUUGACUAGCUCGUUGAUCAAAGAUGGUCAAAGUUUCCUGACCAUAGGCAACUGUUGUCACUUGAUAACGGGAUCACAUCAUUAGGAGAAUCAUGUGAUGGACUAGACCCAAACUAAUAGACGUAGCAUGUUGAUCGUGUCAUUUUGUUGCUACUGUUUUUUGCGUGUCAAGUAUUUGUUCCUAUGACCAUGAGAUCAUAUAACUCACUUACACCGGAGGAAUGCUUUGUGUGUNNNNNNNNNNGGUUUCCUGACCAUAGGCAACUGUUGUCACUUGAUAACGGGAUCACAUCGUUAGGAGAAUCAUGUGAUGGACUAGACCCAAGCUAAUAGAUGAAGCAUGUUGAUCGUGUCAUUUUGUUGCUACUGUUUUCUACGUGUCAAGUAUUUGUUCCUAUCACCAUGAGAUCAUAUAACUCACUUACACCGGAGGAAUGCUUUGUGUGUAUCAAACGUCGCAACGUAACUGGGUGACUAUAAAGAUGCUCUACAGGUAUCUCCAAAGGUGUUCGUUGAGUUAGUAUGGAUCGAGACUGGGAUUUGUCACUCCGUGUGACGGAGAGGUAUCUCAGGGCCCACUCGGUAACACAANNNNNNNNNNCCGGGUAUCUCCGAAGGUGUUCGUUGAGUUAGUAUGGAUCGAGACUGGGAUUUAUCACUCCGUGUGACGGAGAGGUAUCUCAGGGCCCACUCGGUAACACAACAUCACACACAAGCCUUGCAAGCAAUGUGACUUAGUGUAAGUUGCGGGAUCUUGUAUUACGGAACGAGUAAAGAGACUUGCCGGUAAACGAGAUUGAAAUAGGUAUGCGGAUACCGACGAUCGAAUCUCGGGCAAUUAACAUACCGAAGGACAAAGGGAAUGACAUACGGGAUUAUAUGAAUCCGCAGGGUCUGCACACUUAAGGUUCGACGUUGUUCUAUGCGUAUUUGAGUUAUAUGGUUGGUUACCGAAUGUUGUUCGGAGUCCCGGAUGAGAACACGGUCGUCACGAGGGUUUCCGGAAUGGUCCGGAAACAAAGAUUGAUAUAUAGGAUGACCUCAUUUGGUUACCGGAAGGUUUUCGUGCANNNNNNNNNNNNNNNNNNNNNNNNNNNNNNNNNNNNNNNNNNNNNNNNNNNNNNNNNNNNNNNNNNNNNNNNNNNNNNNNNNNNNNNNNNNNNNNNNNNNNNNNNNNNNNNNNNNNNNNNNNNNNNNNNNNNNNNNNNNNNNNNGACCAUCAGGAGGGGUGUCACGCCCAAGGGGUCUCAUGGGCUAUGGGAAGAGAUAAACCAGCCCCUAGUGGGCUGGAAUAAGUUCGCACUAAGGCCCAUAAGGUUUGAGAAGGAAAAAACACAAGGUGGAAAGAGUUUCCAAGUGGGAAGGUGGAAUCCUACUCCAAGUAGGAUUGGAGUAGGACUCCUCCACCUCCAAUUUCGGCCAAAACUUUAGGUUUUGAUGCUGCCUCCUCCCCUCCCUCCCUCCUAUAUAUAGUGGGGUUUUAGGGCUGAUUUGAGACAACUUUUGCCACGGCAGCCCGACCACAUACCUCCACGGUUUUUCCUCUAGAUUGCGUUUUUGCGGAGCUCGGGCGGAGCCCUGCUGAGAUUAGAUCACCACCAACCUCCGGAGCGCCGUCACGCUGCCGGAGAACUCCUCUACCUCUCCAUCUCUCUUGCUGGAUCAAGAAGGCCGAGAUCAUCGUCGAGUUGUACGUGUGCUGAACGCGGAGGUGUCGUCCGUUCAGCACUAGAUCGGAGCGGGUCGUGGGACGGAUCGCGGGACGGUUCGUGGGACGGUUCGCGGAGUGGAUCGAGGGACGUGAGGACGUUCCACUACAUCAACCGCGUUCACUNNNNNNNNNNUUUGUACGUGUGCUGAACGCGGAGGUGUCGUCCGUUCGGCACUAGAUCGGAGCGGAUCGUGGGACGGAUCGCGGGACGGUUCGUGGGACGGUUCGCGGGGUGGAUCGAGGGACGUGAGGACGUUCCACUACAUCAACCGCGUUCACUAACGCUUCUGCUGUGCGAUCUACAAGGGUACGUAGAUCGGACAUCCCCUCUCGUAGAUGGACAUCACCAUGAUAGGUCUUCGUGCGCGUAGGAAAUUUUUUGUUUCCCAUGCGACGUUCCCCAAGAGUUUUCACGUCUAUAAGGUUCCGUGUGCAGCCACAAGCCAAUAUGGGCUCUGGCUUAAUUGAGUAGAUGGUGUGACCUCGUCCGGGAUAGGCUAGCAGAUGUAGAUGAUGUAGGUGUACCGGCCUAUCCGUGGGUAAGAGGGAAUGCUCUCGAAAGACUAUGUCUCGAUCUUCCGAUCAAGGAGGUGGUCGAGUCUUGUGGGGAAAAGUGAAAAUGCCGGGGGAUCUCCUCAUAUUUAAUUAAUCAACUGGGUAAUUGAGACAACUUUGGGUAUGGAUUGAGUUGGGGUUUCCAUCUCAGUGUGAUGAUUUUAUUUUUGUAGAAGUAGAAUGUUUACUUGGUUAAGGAAAAUCGGCUUUACGCAAAACUCAACUUAGAGCUUUCCACCAGCCAAAUUGCAUGUACAAAUAGGAUCCUUACUCUCUUAUGAUGUGACUUGCUAGUACAUUCCAUGUACUAACCUAUACGGCUGCAACCUAUCAUGUUGCAGAUUUGUCUGACGAGGAUUAAGGUGCGAUAGGUCGUUGUUCUACACUCAGCUUGCUCGUGGAGUUGAUGGACUCGUUGCACUUAAUUGCUUCCGCAUUAUUUGUUUUAUCUGGCCUUAGGGCACAUUAUUGUAAUAAAUACUCUUUGAGGAUCUCGAUGUAAUAAAGUGUGUGAUUGGACUCUGUUAUAUAUCCUCGAGUACUGUGUGUGUCAA